AUUUUGAGACCUCCCUCUGAGCAUCUUCCUGAGAUGUGAUGCAGUAGAGCUAUCUGGGAAAUCUCAGAACACUUUCUGGAAAAGUGAAGAAGGCUCCUCUACGUUUCUCAGCAUGGUCCCAGUGCUGCUGGAACCCAAAGAACAGAGCCCUGAGAUCCAUUCCUCUUCCUGGUUUAUGUCUGAACAAAGUGAAGGUCAGCAUCUGAGUGGGAUCGAUUCAUGGCUCUGUAAAAGGUUCCCGUGCCAAACAACAAACAAAGCACCUUCAUCCAUCUGGACAGAACUGAUUAAGUCUCUUAGCACACGUCACUAGACAGGAGAGACAAAGAUGAAAGGAUAUUCAACAGCAGACAACAAGAAGUUGUGCCAUCGGUAGAGUGAAUGCAUAAAUACCGACAAUCUGCAGGCAGCACUACGUUUUCCAUGUUUUACUUCUA
This 437-nucleotide long non-coding RNA is filed under the name Anas platyrhynchos platyrhynchos (common mallard). Its description in RNAcentral is "lncRNA (ENSAPLG00000021711.1)". The record is from RNAcentral. Lineage: Eukaryota; Metazoa; Chordata; Aves; Anseriformes; Anatidae.